CCUACGGGUGGCAGCAGUGGGGAAUAUUGCACAAUGGGCGCAACCCUGAUGCAGCGACGCCGCGUGAGUGAAGAAGUACUUCGUUAUGUUAAGCUCUAUCAGCAGGGAAGAAAAUGACGGUACCUGUGCAUGUAGCCCUGGCUAACUACGUGCCAGCAGCCGCGGUAAUACGGAGGGGGCAAGCGUUAUCCGGAUUUACUGGUGGUAAAGGGAGCGUAGAUGGCUUUGCAAGUCUGGAGUGAAAGGCGGGGGCUCAACCCUCGGACUGCAAUGGAAACUGUACGGCUGGAGUGCAGGAGAGGUAAGUGGAAUUCCUGGUGUAGCGGUGAAAUGCGUAGAUAUUAGGAGGAACACCAGUGGCGAAGGCGGCUUACUGGACUGUAACUGACGUUGAGGCUCGAAAGCGUGGGGAGCAAACAGGAUUAGAUACCCGGGUAGUC
This 440-nucleotide ribosomal RNA is filed under the name uncultured bacterium. RNAcentral describes it as "partial 16S ribosomal RNA". It matches the Rfam family "Bacterial small subunit ribosomal RNA", at positions 338 to 795 of the family's 1533-position model. The record is from RNAcentral.